CUAACUUCCAAGCUUCCCAUUUCUGUAUAAUUUAAGCAUGAAAAUGAGAACACUGAGAUUUGAUAGGCAUGUAGAAGUCAGAGUAAGCAAGAGGGCUUGAGUUCAUCGAUGAACUUCAGUAACUAUCCUUGACUUAGUAUUGGUGGAAACCAUUUGUGAAUUUACAGACUCCAAAAACAAAAAGAUAAUUUAGAGUCUCAAAGUAAGAUUUGGGGAGAUGUCCAUUGGAGACAGAAGUGGAGAGAGGGAGAAGUUCAUUUGUUGACAUAUUUAUGUAUGGUGCACCUACUGUGUGCCAAGCCAUGUUAGAGAUACAGUGGGAGCAAAACCAGAUGUGUUUUCUGCCCUCUGACUCCAGUGGUUGCAGAAUUAGCCCAGGAACUAGAAUUGGAUGGAGUCACACAAACCAAGGAAGGGGAUUGUUUGAGGGGGGCACUCAGUCACAUGUGGCUGAGGCCAAAGAGAAUGAAGAUAUAUUUUAAAAUUCUGGAUUUGGCAAAAUUUAGGCUAGUCUUUACUUUUCAUAAACCUCUCUCAUGUUAGAGCAGCAAAGAAAAACCAGUUUGCCAAGAGGUCACGAGAUUGGGCAGUGAGGAAUGGGGAGUUUAGUUUAAAAGACAACACUAGAUACUUUUGGAAGUUUACCUAUUCUGUGGUUCCCUUUUAUUGACUAAAUGGUGCCCUUCAUUCAUGAAGCAAGUAUCUAUUUAGUGACUACUAUGUGUCAAAAGCUAUCUAGGCCCAGAAACUUUUAAGUGGAAAACAAAACAAAGACCCUGCCCUGACAGAUUUCAAUCAUGUAUAUACUGUAUGUAUGUUUGUGGAAGGUGACAUAAUAGACAAUUGCAGAUAGUGAUAAGUGUGUAAGACAAGGAUACCACGAGCGUAAUAGACAGUGGGGAUGGAGGAACCUUUAGAAGGUUGGUUAAGUUGAAUGAUAAGGAGCCAUUCUUUUGUCUUUACCUGAAUGACUUAUCAUUCAGCCCUUUUUGAGUUUUGGGUUGCUUGCAGAGUUUAACCUUGCCUGUAAUUGAAACUUAAUUUUGUAAUAGCAUAACUUCAUGUAAGAAAAGCAAAGCAAUACAUUACAGAAUUAUUUUACUGAAGAACUUGUUUCAGAGAAAGAGGCUGUUUCACAUUUAUUAGCACAUUUGGAUUAUAUUUAGGUGUUUUAUUUUUUUUUAAACAAAGGAGUUUGGAUCAUAAUACAAGAGAAGCACAGGGCAAAGACACUGCAUAACCUCAAGAACUAAGAAUGGAAGGACUGGCCAGGCCUGGUGGUGCACACCUGUAAUCCCAGCUACUCAGGAGGCUGAGGCGAGAGAAUCGCUUGAGCCUGGGGGGCAGAGGUUGCAGUGAGCUGAGAGAACGGCGGGCGGCAGAGCGAGACUCCAUCUCAAAAAAAAAAAAGGAUAAAGGAAGGACUUAAGCAAAAUCUUCCUUGUAAGUAGAAGGAUGUUUUGACAAGAAAAGUUGCAAUGGAAAAAUGGUUCUCAUGUACACGAGUAUGUAGAAUAAGCAUCGUGUGUGGAUUGGAUUCAGAUCAAAACAUUGCUUUUAUGUUUGUGUCUUUAUACGGUGGGAGUAUACCCUGGUGCCCCAGGAUGAAGACUUGACCUGACCCAUGUAUUUUUAGAUUACUCACAGAUAACAAAAAGUAUUUUCAUCAUGAUUAGUUGCGAAAACAGUUUUAUUUCAAUAGGUAAAACGUGCAGUCCUAUGUAAUCGUCAGAAGGUAAUCUUAAUUAUAGCUUGGGUGUGCUUUAAACUGCAAGCUGGCAGUGGAGGGCACGAUUCCUCUGAUUUCAGCUUUCUCCUUAUACUUUUCUGGAGCUGUGAGCUGCAAGUUAACUCAGUGGGAUUAAAGUGUAGACUGGAGGUACAAAAGGUGAGGAGUGAGGAGAUAGGGUAGUUCUUCCUUGGCUGGCUGGCUUCAUAAUCCCUGGGCCCCGCAGAUAAUUAAAUCGACUUUUUCUGUCUCAGGCAUUUGUAUGACCUCUUUGGAGGUUCCCUGCUGGGUAGUUAUCCUUGUAUCUGAUGGACCCAUCUCAAUUUAAAAUACUCUGCCAGGUUCGGAGGUUCAUGCUUGUCAUCCCAGCACUUUGGGAGGCUCAGAGGUGCCAUUGGCUUGAGCCCAAGAGUUUGAGACCAGCCUGGGCAACCUGGUGAAACCUCUUCUCCAUUAAAAAUACAAAAAAUUAGCCAGGCAUGGUGGUAUGUGCCUGUAGUCCCAGCUACUCAGGGAGCUGAGGUGGAAGGAUUGCUUGAGCCUGGGAGGUCAAGGCUGCAGUGAACCUUGAUUGUGCCACUGCACUCCAGCCUGGAUGACAAAGACCCUGUCUCAAGAAAAGUCUGUAAUUCUUUCCUAACCCUUAGUAUCCAGCCUCAGUCCUGAGGUUUUCUUUACCUCUGGGGGCUAUUUUAUGCCGGCUCUCUCCUGAGUGUCACACAUCUGGUCCUCAGGAAACAUUCUCACAUCCCUGGCCUGAAAAAAACAAUUUCAGGGAGAUCGCAUGGCAGCAGCCCUCUCUGGGCUCCCCAGCUAAAUGGUUGUACGAAACACAUUUCAAAGCUCUCUGAAGGGCUUCCUUGAAGUUCCUUUCACUGGGUUUCAAAGUAGAAGGUAGUAACUCCUUUGUCCAAGAAGGCUGAAUUGAGCACUUAACAAUUCUCCAAAGAAAUUUCUUCAUUGGUCUCUAUCCUAGACCCCUUCUGUAUCCUUGAUAUGGCUGAGGAUUCUAAAAAAUGACCAGUCUUACAUGGGAGGGCUGGGAUAUAAAAAAUAAAAUAAUAAAUAAUGAUAAAAACUGAAAACUGACCACGUUCUUGGAUAUGUUUUCUUUGGGUUGUGUGUGUGUGUGAGACUUUUGAUAGUUACCCAAAGUAGGAAAAAUCCCAUUCUAAUAAGGUUAUAUUUAUGUAGCUCUGCAAAUAAACAUCUAGCAAAUGUAAAAAGUAUUUUCUUUGCCUUAAAAAUGAUUAAAAUUAUUUGAACUCCUGAGGAGUGUUAUAUGAAUAAAAUUAGUAAGUUAUUUGGAGGAAAGUUAUUUUUUAAAAAGACAACUGGUAAAACAGUACAGGAGAAAGGCCAGCUUCCUCAAGUGAGGACAGUUGUUUAGAAUUGACUGAGGAGCGGCCGGGUGCGGAGGCUCACAUCUGUAAUCCCACACGCCUUGGGAGGCUCUGAGGCGGGUAGAUCACCUGAGGUCAGGAGUUUGAGACCAGCCUGGCCAACAUGGCGAAACCCCGUCUCCACUAAAAAUACAAAAAUUAGCCAGGUGCAGUGGCACACACCUGUAAUCCCAGCUACUCCGAAGGCUGAGGCAGGAGGAUCACCUGAGCCCAGGAAGUUGAGACUGCAGUGAGCUGAGAUUGCACCACUGCACUCCAGCCUCAGUGACAGCGAGACUGUCUCAAAAAAAGAAAAAAGUGACUGAGGAGGAAGAGGCCAGGUGGCAAAUGGAACAGAAUCACCAAAGGGUGAACAGGACUAAGGCAAUGUAGUGUAUGGCUCAGCUACGUCAGAGUGGAAAAGGUGUUAUUAGAGCAGAAACUAUGGUCCCUGCGUCACAGGGAAGCAACCUACAGAGAAGCAGCAGCUCCCCAAGAGAGGAGAGAUAAGAAGCCAGAAGCCUCAGAGUGAACAAUUGUCCUAUUAGGGAUUGCUCUAGAGAGAGAAACCUCUGGGAACGUACCCCUGUGAGGCAGCACAGCACAAUGCUUUUAGAAUUGUAUGAGAGUUGAUAUAUCUCCAUUUGUUUUGCAAAGGCAAAAACUAAGAUACAGAGAUUAUCUGUUAAAGUUAUGUAUUUCUUUGGUAAUAAAGAUGCUGACAGUGUUGCUGGAAUGCAUUUCUUUAAUAAAGAUAUUGUACAAUGAAA
RNAcentral lists this long non-coding RNA (3881 nucleotides) under Homo sapiens (human). Its description in RNAcentral is "non-protein coding lnc-RPL37-1:7". Lineage: Eukaryota; Metazoa; Chordata; Mammalia; Primates; Hominidae. The record is from RNAcentral.